UCAUGACGUAUCGGAUGACGU
Molecule: non-coding RNA, 21 nt
Filed under: Caenorhabditis elegans
Lineage: Eukaryota; Metazoa; Nematoda; Chromadorea; Rhabditida; Rhabditidae
Source: RNAcentral